This 507-nucleotide ribosomal RNA is filed under the name uncultured delta proteobacterium. Its description in RNAcentral is "SSU rRNA". It matches the Rfam family "Bacterial small subunit ribosomal RNA", at positions 244 to 765 of the family's 1533-position model. The record is from RNAcentral. Lineage: Bacteria; Deltaproteobacteria.
GCUAGUUGGUGAGGUAAUGGCUCACCAAGGCGACGAUCUUUAGCUGGUCUGAGAGGAUGAUCAGCCACACUGGAACUGAGACACGGUCCAGACUCCUACGGGAGGCAGCAGUAGGGAAUAUUGCACAAUGGAGGAAACUCUGAUGCAGCGACGCCGCGUGAGUGAUGAAGGACUUCGGUUCGUAAAGCUCUGUCGUAUGGGAAUAAUAAAAUGAAUGUACCAUGCAAGAAAGGAUCGGCUAACUUCGUGCCAGCAGCCGCUGUAAGACGAGGGAUCCUAGCGUUGUUCGGAAUCAUUGGGCGUAAAGCGGAUGUAGGUGGCUUUGUAAGUCAGAUGUGAAAGCCCCGGGCUCAACCCGGGAAGUGCAUUUGAUACUGCGGAGCUUGAGUGCUAGAGAGGUUACUAGAAUACCUGGUGUAGUGGUGAAAUACGUAGAUAUCAGGUGGAAUACCGGAGGCGAAGGCGGGUAACCAGCUAGACACUGACACUCAGAUCCGAAAGUGUGGG